This 2830-nucleotide long non-coding RNA is filed under the name Equus caballus (horse). Its description in RNAcentral is "lncRNA (ENSECAG00000041793.2)". The record is from RNAcentral. Lineage: Eukaryota; Metazoa; Chordata; Mammalia; Perissodactyla; Equidae.
GGUGCGCUCAAGGCUGGUCUAGCCGACUAGGUGCGCCGCAGUCUCCGCCUGCGUCUUGCACUUGCACAUGGGUUGCAGAGGCAGGUGGUGACCCCAAGGAGGGGUUUAAGGAGAGCUCUAGCACCUUCACCCCAACUAUCUUCCCUAGGUUCCCCAAGACACCUAGAACUUAGUUUAAAACUGUGAUUGCCCCAUUGACAUAGCUUGAAGACAAGACCUUUGCCCACCCCAGACUACGACCUCCAAUAUUGAAAUUCUGGAGCAGACAAAUCUUCCUUGCCCUGCGUGGAGGACUGUGUGCCCACGCAGGCCCGGCAGUCCAGGGCUCUGGAAGCUAGGACUAGGUUGGGGUGCUCCAGGGCCUGCACCCUGCCUAGGACCGCCAACCUUGGGCAGGCUGUGGGAGCCCAGCCCCUGGGAAAGCCUGAGGGGGCAGUGCCAGCAUGCUGACAAUGACCUCAGCAGGCAGAACUCCUCCCCUGGGAAAACAUGGCCUGGAGGAAGCACCCCGACCUCAAGGCAGGAGCUCCCGCUCCUGUGAGUGUGCAAAGGCAUGCCAGCAGAGACUUGUGUACAGUGCCCAUCAGGGUGUAAACGCCCAGCUAGGAGGGGUGUGGAAAUAAGUGGGUGUGCUGGUGCACACGGAAGGACAGGCUCUGCAAUGGUGCCGACCCCUGGUCGCCCAGGAAAUGGGACUCCAAAGGCACCAGGUGAGCUGGCCUCCUGACCUGGCUCCUGCUGGUGGCUCAGCACUCAGGGACACUUUUGCGGGGAAUACUGGGUUGGCUUCCACCAAGGACAACCUACACCUUUUGUCCGCUGAGCAUCUCUCCCCCACACACCCCGCCCCCUCUGGUGCCGGGUGCCCUGCCCCCGCAGGCUUCUUUUUAAAGUAUAGGGUUUUCAGAAGUGCUCCUGUCUCUCUCUAUUGUGAAGUGGUGAGCACAUUGCUCUUUCUUGAUCUCCCAGCUAAAACUGCCCCAGGGAGUGCUUGAUCCCCACCCCCUGGCCUCUCCUCCCAGCCAAAAGGGUCUGCAGGUGGUGGUCCUGCUGAAGGAAAGUCUGCAUUCGGCCCAGAGGGGCCUCUAUGCCCCAUUCUGGGAGACAGCCUCAGCUCUGUCCUCCUCUGUAGCCAUCCUUCCCUUCUAUUCAAGGGAGGAGGCGGAGCUCUUAGAGCCGGACCCCAGGCUGGCCACUAACUGUAAGCGCACAUAGAAAAAAACGGUAGGUACUGAAUACGAAUUUGAGGGAGAGUGAAUUUUGCCAGUGAUCACUGUACAGAUAUUACCAAUACCUUCAAAAUAUGUUAUCCAAAUAAGGAGAUUAAUUUUGGUUCAAUUCGCAAGAAGCCUUUUGCAUCAUUUAAGGUUUUUAGGUGUGUUUUGGCUGAAGAGAAAGGGCUCUGGCCCUGGGCUUGCUGGGGAAACAGCUGGUGACAGGAAUGGGUGCAGGCCUCCCUUGACAGGCAGCCCACAAACCCUCCUUCCUCCUCCUCAGGCCUCACCUGCCAGCCAAGAAAAAUGAGACUUGAAAAUGGGCCAGAGUCAUCCUCCAACGGUGAAAUUUGUCCAGGAGUCACUCCCCUCUCAAAUGUCCAGAAAUGCAAGCUGCUCUCUUUCUGGAGGAUGGCCCUAUCUGGGGCAAGCUGAGAGUCAAGAAGGGAGACAGUAGAGGGGAGAAGGUAGAGCACUGACCGUCCAGCCCAGCACCCAAUCCUGGCUCAGCGGGACCCAGCACAAAGAAUGAAGGAGCACGUGGUGCACGAAAGAAUGUGGAGUGCGACGAGUCCUUUCCUCUUAAGAGAGAAGUCCUGGUCAGCAGCACAGAAAGGUCACGCACACAGUGGGUCUGCUCUGGGUGUGCACAUUGCAGGUGAAGGCAAGCUCUGACUAUGGAGUGCAGGGCCUGGGCUCCGGGUCCAUCACUCCCCAGUGACCUUGAGAGAUUGCCCUGGCUCUUUGAGCCUCAACUCUUUCAUCUCUAAAAUGGGGCAGUUCUGUUCAUCUUAAGUACUGAGUAGGGACUGGGAGGAAAACUUCAAUCAAAGUUGGAGAUGCCCUUUGAAGCCUUCAGGUCUUUAUGCUACAUGCUGGGAGCUUUCAAGGUCAGAAUAGGGUUUGAAAGAUGAAGAGCAGCAUUACUGGCUGUGUGCCCAUGGGCAAGUCACAGUAGAGCCCACUUCGCAGGUACCAGUGAGGCCUACACAAGAUGAAGUGUGUUGGUGCUUUGGUGAAGAGCUUGGCACAUAGUAGUUGUCCAAUAAAUGGUGACCCCUCCUGCAGCCACUGUGAGAAGGCUAGCCACAGGAUCAGACCUCCCUGAAGACAAAGGUUUAUACAUGGGCUGAGAUUGGAUGUGCCAAGGAUGCAGGUUGAAUAUUCCAGGGUCCCAUGCAAAACGAAGCAAGAUCUUGUGAAGCCAGAAGCCCAAACAAAUCUCAGAUACCCAAGAAGUUCACACAGCCCUGAUCGCUGCUUAGUGACGGCUGGAGCCUCCGGGGGUGGGAGCGCCAUCUGAGUUCCCAGGGGAAUAAACACGCUCACGCAAGGGCUUUUGAAAAGAAGAGUCCCCCAGUGUCCUUGUUUGAAACUUGCUGCUCAAUGACAUCAAUGGACAGCUGUCAGUCAGGCAGGAUCCCAGAGCUCAGAGAGCACUUUCACAGAUAUUAUUCCACUUCUUGCUUGCUCCAACGGUGGCAGCUGGACAACGUUAGGGUCACCCGACGGAUGAAGCCCAGAGAGGCUGAACGGCUCCGGCCCAGCACUUUUAACUCCCAAUCUCUAUGUUUCCUCAGUACCAUUUGGUAAAUCUUUAUUAACCAGAAUGUCUA